RNAcentral lists this ribosomal RNA (253 nucleotides) under uncultured bacterium. Its description in RNAcentral is "partial 16S ribosomal RNA". It matches the Rfam family "Bacterial small subunit ribosomal RNA", at positions 524 to 776 of the family's 1533-position model. The record is from RNAcentral.
UACAGAGGGUGCCAGCGUUAUUCGGAAUUAUUGGGCGUAAAGGGCGCGUAGGCGGCCAUGCGUGUCUUCCGUGAAAUCCCUCGGCUCAACCGAGGACGUGCGGAAGAAACUGCAAGGCUCGAGUCCGGAAGAGGGGGGCGGAAUUCCUGGUGUAGCGGUGGAAUGCGCAGAUAUCAGGAGGAACACCAAUAGCGAAGGCAGCUCGCUGGGACGGUACUGACGCUAAGGCGCGAAAGCGUGGGGAGCGAACAGG